This is a long non-coding RNA of Rosa chinensis, 1369 nucleotides long. RefSeq lists it as uncharacterized. The record is from RefSeq and is a predicted model, not a curated record. The transcript has 9 exons. Lineage: Eukaryota; Viridiplantae; Streptophyta; Magnoliopsida; Rosales; Rosaceae.
GCGUUCCUUCUCUCUACGUUUCGUUCCUUAUCUUUGUUUUAGUCUUGCCUCUGCGUUCUUGGGUGAUCUUCUUAAUUAUAGUGUUAUGUUUGGCCUAGGUAUAAAAGGUCUUGGGGUGAUUGACGCGAGCAUUCCCUCUCUGUUUCUCUCUUCAUUGUAAGUUGUCGUCUGCGCAUCUGGAGAUUCUUGGGUGUGUGGCUGAUUUGGGUGAAGAGAAGGAGGGUGAUUUUGGAGGAAACGAGAGAGGAGUUUCUACAUGACUGAAGGGAAGGAGAGGGAUGAUGAGGUAUUGGGGUGAUUAGUGUGAUCUUCUCUGUUUCUUUAUGUGUUCAUUCUUGGGUGGUCUUUUCGGAUCUACAGAUUCUUCCGUGUGUGAUUGAUUUGGGGUAGGAGAGGCAGAGUGUUUGUGGAGGAAAUGGAAGAAGAAUUGACAGCAAAAGAUUAACGGCAACAGAGCCUUCUAUUAUAGCCAAUGGGCGCUGCUUCAAGCUUAUAUACUCAAAGGGUCUAUUAGCAGAAUAUCAGAAGAGAUCAGAGACCAGAGCUUCUCCCUCUUGCACACCUGUCCUGUCUUUCAAGAUCAACCAAGAAGCUCAGAUUCUAUUACCAAAUUUAACCUUCAUUGAAGAGGAGCAGAUAUCCAUCUUUUGCUGUUUCACAGUAUCAGACCAUUGGUGGGAAAAGGGAAGAGGAGAGAUCAAAGAUUUUGGUCCAUUUUGAUUGACUUUUGGAGGAAGAUUUGGGUUUGUUUUGGGAGAGGUUGCUUGGUUUUCAUCAGAGGAACAGCAUUGCAGAUUAUAGCAUAGAGAGAGCUUGAACAACAACUUCAAUUUCAGCUAUUACUUUGUAAGUUUGAUGGAUGAAUUUGAAUUGACCUAUUCAGAUUUUUUGUUAAAACUUAAUAAAAUGAAAACCGUUUUGUCUUUUUUUUUUUUUUUCCUUAUUAGAUCUGUGUUUACUGCAAGUUAUUAUUAUGGUUUGAAAUUAAUUACCGGCCUGAUUAUUUAAUCAUGAAGAAUGUAUGCUUCCAGUAUUAUGCUUCCAAAGAUUGAAUGAAUAUUUCCUUUACCUUAAGGUUGAUGAUGAUUCUUUAGUAAUGGUCUUUAUUUUCGUUUCACUUGAGAUUUGUAUAGUGAUUAGGUUUGCUGAUUGAAUAUUAUAUAUGAGUAUUCUGAUAUUUGGUUUGAUAUAAAUUUAUGAUUUCUAAAUGUUUUAAUUGACAGCAGUGAGAUUUCUAAAUGUUUUAGUUUGAUAUAAAUUUAUGAAUUAUUACUUGAAAUUGUGCAGCAAGUUUUCUGGCCUAAACUUUCAGAUAAAAAUAAGAGAAUACUAGAAUUGUGUAUAGUAGGUUGUGAAACUUUGCAUUUGU